This 414-nucleotide ribosomal RNA is filed under the name uncultured microorganism. Its description in RNAcentral is "bacterial SSU rRNA". It matches the Rfam family "Archaeal small subunit ribosomal RNA", at positions 459 to 872 of the family's 1478-position model. The record is from RNAcentral.
CAGCCGCCGCGGUAAUACCGGCGGCCCGAGUGGCGGUCACUAUUAUUGGGCUUAAAGCGUCCGUAGCCGGGUUGGGAAGUCCUCCGGGAAAUCUGGCCGCUUAACGGUCAGAAUGCCGGAGGAUACUCCCAGCCUAGGGAGCGGGAGAGGCCGAGGGGAUUCCCGGAGUAGGGGUGGAAUCCUAUAAUCCCGGGAGGACCACCUGUGGCGAAGGCGCUCGGCUGGAACGCGUCCGACGGUGAGGGACGAAGGCCAGGGGAGCAAACCGGAUUAGAUACCCGGGUAGUCCUGGCGGUAAACGAUGCGGACUUUGUGUCGGACAAGCUAUGAGCUUGUCCGGUGCCGGAGGGAAACCGUUAAGUCCGCCGCCUGGGGAGUACGGCCGCAAGGCUGAAACUUAAAGGAAUUGGCGGG